UGGGGAAUAUUGCGCAAUGGGCGAAAGCCUGACGCAGCCAUACCGCGUGUGUGAAGAAGGCCUUCGGGUUGUAAAGCACUUUCAGUGGGGAGGAAAAGCGGGUGGCUAAUAUCCAUCGGCCGUGACGCUACCCACAGAAGAAGCACCGGCUAAUUCCGUGCCAGCAGCCGCGGUAAUACGGAAGGUGCGAGCGUUAAUCGGAAUUACUGGGCGUAAAGCGCACGUAGGUGGCUUGGUAAGUCGGAUGUGA
Molecule: ribosomal RNA, 250 nt
Filed under: uncultured bacterium
Lineage: Bacteria
Description: partial 16S ribosomal RNA
Rfam family: Bacterial small subunit ribosomal RNA
Source: RNAcentral